CCUACGGGAGGCAGCAGUGAGGAAUAUUGGUCAAUGGACGAGAGUCUGAACCAGCCAAGUAGCGUGAAGGAUGACUGCCCUAUGGGUUGUAAACUUCUUUUAUAUGGGAAUAAAACGUUCCACGUGUGGGAUUUUGUAUGUACCAUAUGAAUAAGGAUCGGCUAACUCCGUGCCAGCAGCCGCGGUAAUACGGAGGAUCCAAGCGUUAUCCGGAUUUAUUGGGUUUAAAGGGAGCGUAGGUGGAUUGUUAAGUCAGUUGUGAAAGUUUGCGGCUCAACCGUAAAAGUGCAGUUGAAACUGGCAGUCUUGAGUACAGUAGAGGUGGGCGGAAUUCGUGGUGUAGCGGUGAAAUGCUUAGAUAUCACGAAGAACUCCGAUUGCGAAGGCAGUUCACUGGACUGCAACUGACACUGAGGCUCGAAAGUGUGGGUAUCAAACAGGAUUAGAUACCCGGGUAGUC
This 460-nucleotide ribosomal RNA is filed under the name uncultured bacterium. RNAcentral's name for it is "partial 16S ribosomal RNA". It matches the Rfam family "Bacterial small subunit ribosomal RNA", at positions 338 to 795 of the family's 1533-position model. The record is from RNAcentral.